GUGAACGCUGGCGGUAGGCCUCACACCUGCAAGUCGCACGGCAGCACAGUAAGAGCUUGCUCUUACGGGUGGCGAGUGGCGGACGGGUGAGGAAUACAUCGGAAUCUACUUUUUCGUGGGGGAUAACGUAGGGAAACUUACGCUAAUACCGCAUACGACCUACGGGUGAAAGCAGGGGAUCUUCGGACCUUGCGCGAUUGAAUGAGCCGAUGUCGGAUUAGCUAGUUGGCGGGGUAAAGGCCCACCAAGGCGACGAUCCGUAGCUGGUCUGAGGGGAUGAUCAGCCACACUGGAACUGAGACACGGUCCAGACUCCUACGGGAGGCAGCAGUGGGGAAUAUUGGACAAUGGGCGCAAGCCUGAUCCAGCCAUACCGCGUGGGUGAAGAAGGCCUUCGGGUUGUAAAGCCCUUUUGUUGGGAAAGAAAAGCAGCAGGUUAAUACCCCGCUGUUCUGACGGUACCCAAAGAAUAAGCACCGGCUAACUUCGUG
This 491-nucleotide ribosomal RNA is filed under the name uncultured bacterium. Its description in RNAcentral is "partial 16S ribosomal RNA". It matches the Rfam family "Bacterial small subunit ribosomal RNA", at positions 29 to 507 of the family's 1533-position model. The record is from RNAcentral.